ACGAACGCUGGCGGCGUGCCUAACACAUGCAAGUCGAGCGAGGUAUUUAUACCUAGCGGCGGACGGGUGAGUAACACGUGGGUAACCUGCCUCAGAGAGGGGAAUAGCCUUCCGAAAGGAAGAUUAAUACCGCAUAAUAUAUACUUUUAGCAUUAUGAGUAUAUCAAAGGAGAAAUCCGCUUUGAGAUGGGCCCGCGGCGCAUUAGCUAGUUGGAGAGGUAACGGCUCACCAAGGCGACGAUGCGUAGCCGACCUGAGAGGGUGAUCGGCCACAUUGGAACUGAGACACGGUCCAGACUCCUACGGGAGGCAGCAGUGGGGAAUAUUGCACAAUGGGGGAAACCCUGAUGCAGCAACGCCGCGUGAAUGAUGAAGGCCUUCGGGUCGUAAAGUUCUUUGAUUGGGGACGAUAAUGACGGUACCCAAAAAACAAGCCACGGCUAACUACGU
This 450-nucleotide ribosomal RNA is filed under the name uncultured bacterium. RNAcentral's name for it is "bacterial SSU rRNA". It matches the Rfam family "Bacterial small subunit ribosomal RNA", at positions 29 to 506 of the family's 1533-position model. The record is from RNAcentral.